This is a long non-coding RNA of Theobroma umbraticum, 3105 nucleotides long. RefSeq lists it as uncharacterized. The record is from RefSeq and is a predicted model, not a curated record. NCBI's taxonomy places the organism in Eukaryota, Viridiplantae, Streptophyta, Magnoliopsida, Malvales, Malvaceae.
CUCAGAAAACCAUGACAGUUUGUUUCAGUUGCAUGCUUUAAAGAUUUUGGUUUUGGUUAUCUCUGUUACAUUCCUUCAAAGGUUUUCCCUGCUUUGAUUCUUUUCUUCUCUGCAUUUUUUACUUUGAUAAAUUAUAUAUAUUAAGUUCAUUUCUAUUCUGUUUUCUUUUUAUUGCUACAAUAAAUUUCCACUCUUUGUUUCCUUUUGGGUCUGAACAAAAUCUAAUCUUCAUAGCUUUAUACUUGAAUUUGAUCCCAUUAGUUGAACUCAUUCAUGUUUUUGAAAAAUCAAUGUGGGUUUUUUCUUUUUGAACUCUCGUUGUUAUUCAUUAGCUAUAAAGCGAGGAAUCGAGGUUUUCUUUUUCUUUUUCUUUUUCUUUUUCCUUUUGGGGCCAGAUUACACCAAGUUUUUCCUUGCUGUUGAAUGCUGCAUUUGUGGGGGUAAAGGAAGAUUCUAAGUCGAGGGACUAGAGGCCUCAAAAGAAACAAUGAAGAAUCUUUGUCUAAAUGAGUGAAGGUGAAGCAAUGAUGACGAACAUUUGACAGAUCAGAAAUUGAUAUUUUGAGGGCCCGAGGAUCAGGUUGGAGCUUGAGUAAAAAUAAGCUUUGACUGGGCACCAAACUUUUGAGCUAGUGAACAAUGACCUCCACAAACCUCUCCACUUUCCAAGGCUGAACUUUGUUCUUGCAUAACUUUUGAUUUGUAAAAAGUGCAAAGUACAAUCUGCUUUUUCUAUAAGGUUCUACUGUCAGUGCACACUUCACUUCUGAAUUUUCCCCUUUCUCUUUUCUUCUUUUUGUUUGUGUGAGUGCAAGGAAUAAAUGUCCCUCCUGUUCAAGAGCUGAAGAUCAUUUAUCGUUGGUUGAGAGGCUGUAACAUUGAUUCAACAUAAAAAUAUCUUUGGUAAUUUAAUUGCUCCUACCAGGUUUCGCUACUUUUCUUUGUCAUCCUGUGAUGCAAUUUACGUUUAUUUUAGGGAUAUAUUAACUAAAAUUUAGCACUUUCAAGACAUCCUUCAGAUUUCAUUUUUGUUGAUGACAUAUAUUUUGGCAUAUAUUUCACCAUGUGGAUAUAUUUGGUGGCAUAAUAUUUGUGAACAUUUAAAAGCACGAAGCUAAAGCCAAUGCUUGCCUAGUAGAGAAAUUGACAAAAGAUGCAUGUGACAUGAACCAAUAGAAUCAAGCAUGCUCAAGUUAGAAUACUACAGAUUGUAAGUUAAGAGGGCACCACUGUUGUGGGUAAAGUGAUAGCUCCCUUGACAAUGUUAUGUGUUUCUUUACGUCUGGCUGAACUUUGUUUCCUUUACACAUAUCCCUCAGAAAGUGAAAAAAGCGCAGCAUUCUAAAUUAAAGGUUAAUGAGAGCCUACCUUUCUUUUGUUGAAUAACUCCUUGAACUUGGCUUUUCAUUCCACUCAAUCGAAAAACUCUGGACACCUUCAAUGAAAGGCUGAGGAGUUGAACUGUCUACAUCAUUAUCCUAGCCAUCCACUGUCAGAGUGGGUGAUGGUACGCUAUCAUUAGCAAAUGAGAAUCUUGAUUGAAAUGCUUACAGUAUGGAAAAAAGCACUGAUACUUAACAAAUGGCAUUGCUGAUAUGGAUACUUCAAGGCCUCUAGGAUCAAGGAGGACCUCAACUUUAAAAGUAAAAAGGCUCACCAAGCGCUGAUGAUAUUCACAGAAUGCAACAGAUGACAGAAAAAGGAAAAUUAUACUUUUGUGAGAGCUUUUAAUGUUUCACGAGUAUAUAUGCUAUUUUGGAGCAAGUGGCAACUUUUCCACCAUUUUCCCUGCUACAUGACAGAGAAGUUGUUGACUGUGUGGAAUGGUGCCUACAUGAUCAUUACCAUGAAGAUUGGCAUCAAGAUGAUACUAAUGGUAUAUACAAUAACCCUUUUCUAGAAUGAUUGUCUCGGUCCAAUUUUUCUCUAAAUACUGUACCGAACAGAGUCAGAUUGGCAAUUGAGCUCAGUAUAUGCUUCUGUUGUAUGCUCACAAGUGUUGCUUUUUCAACUUUUAAUCCAAGUUCCAAAAUGUGCAAUAUUAAUCGUACAAAAUGGGCAUGUAGCAAACCCAAAGCUUUGUUAAUGUAAAUUUCCUAGUCUUAAAAAAGGAUGGAUUGCCACAUAUGCUUUACAUUUUUCUGAGAUAUUGGUUACUGAAACCAAGGAAUCUCAAUCCAUGAUAUACAUUUGUGUAGAAAAAUGCUUUCUGAAUAUUCUAUUAGAUGCAUUAGUAGAUGCUUUUAUAUUUCUGUCUCAUGUAAGGUAAAAGCCAUAUGAUGAUUGUUCUUAUUAAUGAAAAGCAGAAUAGAUGAGAUUCCUAUAAUCUUUAGCUUAAUACCUACUGAUAAGCAGAUUAUCUACAGGUUAUGUCCAAUCUGGUGGGGGAAUAUAUGUGGCUGGACUUACAGGAUAUUGCCUGUGGGACUUUCCUUGUAAAGCAAAGAUCCCCCUUCUUCCAUAUUAAAGCUAAACAUUGUUAUUUUUUGAAACACUUCUGUUACUGACCCAUCUUUAAUGUUGUUUUAAUGGGUACAUCAAUUUCCUUUACCCUAAUAGAUGGAUUAAAUGAAAUUAUUCAAGUUUGCAUUAGGCACCAGUUACCGCUUGUUCGGCACAUAGGAGCAAGAGGAUUCUCAAUGCCUUGUAGGAAUAGCAAUGGAACAUGCUGCUUUCGUUUCAAAGGACCUGAUUAUUCUCUAAUCUGUGAAAAAGGCAAAAAAAAGGCCACAUCCAAGUUGCUUUUUCCUUUUUGGAUGGACACUUUUCUGCUUGUCUAAGGUGGUGCGCAUGGAAUCUUCAGCCAGAGAAAAAGAGUGGGGCUAGCCAAAAGGCCACUCGAACGUUCGAAUAAUCUUGCAAGAAGAAGCUGGCAGUUUCGUUAUCAGAUCCCUCUCAUCAUUAACCGCCUUCUUGCUGGACUUCUCUCUUUUUUCUCCCAGAAAAGGGUUUAUGGUGAAUUCUCUUUUCUUAAAGCUUUUGAGGACUCAUAAUCCAGGCCAAAUUGAAGACUCUGCUGUUGAUGUUGCUGCUGCUGCAAGUGAUCUUUGGCUUCUCCAGACUGAAUUGGCACAACACUGUCACCCCCAUAACUCUUGUUUGGAA